This 380-nucleotide ribosomal RNA is filed under the name uncultured eukaryote. RNAcentral describes it as "partial 18S ribosomal RNA". It matches the Rfam family "Eukaryotic small subunit ribosomal RNA", at positions 592 to 976 of the family's 1831-position model. The record is from RNAcentral.
CAAUAGCGUAUAUUAAAGUUGUUGCGGUUAAAAAGCUCGUAGUUGGAUUUCUGCCGAGGACGUCCGGUCCACCCUCUGGGUGUGUACAUGGCACGGCCUGGGCAUCUUCUUGGGGUACGUAUCUGCACUUGACUGUGUGGUGCGGAAUCCAGGACUUUUACUUUGAGGAAAUUAGAGUGUUUCAAGCAGGCACGCGCCUUGAAUACAUUAGCAUGGAAUAAUAAGAUAGGACCUCGGUUCUAUUUUGUUGGUUUCUAGAGCUGAGGUAAUGAUUAAUAGGGAUAGUUGGGGGCAUUCGUAUUUAACUGUCAGAGGUGAAAUUCUUGGAUUUGCUAAAGACGGACUACUGCGAAAGCAUUUGCCAAGGAUGUUUUCAUUGA